UGGGCUUGACAUGCUCCGGAAUCCUGCAGAGAUGCGGGAGUGCCCUUCGGGGAAUCGGAACAC
Molecule: ribosomal RNA, 63 nt
Filed under: uncultured organism
Description: partial 16S ribosomal RNA
Source: RNAcentral